RNAcentral lists this ribosomal RNA (99 nucleotides) under Tylototriton podichthys. RNAcentral's name for it is "partial 16S ribosomal RNA". Lineage: Eukaryota; Metazoa; Chordata; Amphibia; Caudata; Salamandridae. The record is from RNAcentral.
AAAGGACCGAAAAAAUAGAGCCCAUUAUCAAACAAUGCUCUCACACAGUUGAAAACAAAUAAAACACGCACACACAAACACAUCCUAGAACAGGAUAAA